CUGCGAAGCCUCUUUCCAGAGAGCAGCAGGGAGAACAGUCCAUGUCUGAGGUACGGCACCCUCCACACCACACAAUGGGACAACUGGUAGACAUGCACUCUAUGGUUCUUCUGUAGAAGGUUGUGAGGAAGGUGGGACCAGAUUCCUGCUGGAUUCUGUCUGUUGACCGAAGAUGGAUCUUCUUCCCGACACCAACCUGGAUAUCCCUUCAGUACCUCUUCGGAUCUCUG
Molecule: long non-coding RNA, 230 nt
Organism: Cyprinodon tularosa
Lineage: Eukaryota; Metazoa; Chordata; Actinopteri; Cyprinodontiformes; Cyprinodontidae
Exons: 3
Source: RefSeq, a predicted model, not a curated record